UCUAUUUAUAUUUACAAAUAAUUGGUACCCCUUUGGAUCGUUUAUGACAUGAAAAUACGUAUUUAAUAGCUUUAUAUUAAUAAAGCGGGGUCCAAUCGGUACCGGUUUUCGAGAUAAUCAUCAAAACGGGGUGUUUUAAAUCAAUCAUUAGUAUGCGGGUCCCAUUUGCAAUUAUUACAAGAUAAGAAUUAAUAUAAUAAUCAAAAUAUCUAGUUUCACGCUUAUCGAGACAAACUGGAUAAUUAUCAACAAUUAAAAUACCCGAAAAACUCCGCCGGACCGACUCCGGGGAAAACCGUACUCCGGAUCGAAAAAGUCAAAACACGAAAAAUGUCCGGAAUAUUCAAAUUAGGCUAAAGGUGAGUUUUGUUGAAACUUCCGGGAAGAAAAUUUGCUACCUCGUUACGAGUGGACGGUUUUACGGAAGUCAAAUAAUUAAUAAAUAAAUAUAAAUAUACGCAAUUAAAUCCGUAAAUCGAUUAUAAAAUCAUCUAACAUUCCAUAAAUCGAUAUGAAAAUAUCCAAAUAAACUAUAUUUUCUCCUGAGCAUAUAGAAAUUGAAAUCUCGCGAAUACGAACACAUACGAGCAUUCAGCUCAAUAAACUAGAUAACACAAAAUUCACAAAAAUUCAUAUAUUACUCAUAUAAUAUUAAUAAUUAAUCAUAACUAAUUAACAAACAAAUUCACCAAUACCACUUAAUCACAUAACACACAUAUAUUCACAUAAUAUUCAUACAGAAUUUUCAAAACAAUAUAUGAAAAUCAGUUUUGAAAAUACAAUUAUUUAUCAAUAACACAAUAACCCGGGGUUUAAAU
RNAcentral lists this long non-coding RNA (818 nucleotides) under Daucus carota (carrot). Its description in RNAcentral is "long non-coding RNA (DCAR_LNC004920)". Lineage: Eukaryota; Viridiplantae; Streptophyta; Magnoliopsida; Apiales; Apiaceae. The record is from RNAcentral.